GACCAGACUCCUACGGGAGGCAGCAGUGGGGAAUAUUGCACAAUGGGGGAAACCCUGAUGCAGCGACGCCGCGUGAGUGAAGAAGUAUUUCGGUAUGUAAAGCUCUAUCAGCAGGAACGAGACAAGACGGUACCUGACUAAGAAGCCCCGGCUAACUACGUGCCAGCAGCCGCGGUAAUACGUAGGGGGCAAGCGUUAUCCGGAUUUACUGGGUGUAAAGGGAGCGUAGACGGCAGCACAAGUCUGGAGUGAAAUCCCGGGGCUUAACCCCGGAACUGCUUUGGAAACUGUGCGGCUGGAGUGCAGGAGGGGUAAGCGGAAUUCCUAGUGUAGCGGUGAAAUGCGUAGAUAUUAGGAGGAACACCGGUGGCGAAGGCAGCCUGCCGCAGCGUUACUGACGCUGAAGCUCGAAAGCGCGGGUAUCGAACAGGAUUAGAUACCCCGGUAAC
RNAcentral lists this ribosomal RNA (449 nucleotides) under uncultured bacterium. Its description in RNAcentral is "bacterial SSU rRNA". It matches the Rfam family "Bacterial small subunit ribosomal RNA", at positions 329 to 795 of the family's 1533-position model. The record is from RNAcentral.